GAAAGGGACCGACCUUCGGGAGCCUAUACAGGUGUUGCAUGGCUGUCGUCAGCUCGUGUCGUGAGAUGUUCGGUUAAGUCCGCUAACGAGCGCAACCCUCGUCGUAUGUUAUAUGUGUCAUACGAGACUGCCGGUAAAAAGCCGGAGGAAGGUGAGGAUGAUGUCAAGUCAGCAUGACCUUUAUAUCCAGGGCUACACACACGCUACAAUGGUCUGUACAAUGGGUAGCCAAGCCGCGAGGCGGAGCCAAUCCUGAAAGCAGGCCUCAGUUCAGAUUGCAGUCUGCAACUCGACUGCAUGAAGCCGGAGUUGCUAGUAACCGCAGGUCAGCAAUACUGCGGUGAAUACGUUCCCGGGUCUU
Molecule: ribosomal RNA, 361 nt
Filed under: uncultured Anaerolineaceae bacterium
Lineage: Bacteria; Bacillati; Chloroflexota; Anaerolineae; Anaerolineales; Anaerolineaceae
Description: bacterial SSU rRNA
Rfam family: Bacterial small subunit ribosomal RNA
Source: RNAcentral